Molecule: long non-coding RNA, 784 nt
Organism: Nicotiana attenuata
Lineage: Eukaryota; Viridiplantae; Streptophyta; Magnoliopsida; Solanales; Solanaceae
Exons: 2
Source: RefSeq, a predicted model, not a curated record
CAUGCCUUCUUCUAAAAUGACAAUAAUUAGAGAUGACCUCCCCUUGAAAGAAACCCAAGAGCAACGUUUCUAGCUUCUUCUUCCUUACAAAAACCAGACCCACUCCUCGACAAAAAACGGAGCAGCUGCACACCUAAGAAUUCUGUUGAAAACCACCCCUUCACGUUAAAAAGCAAAGCAAAGAACUAGAGUUCCAAGGACUGAGGUCAAUGAGUUGGGAAACAUAUUUAAUGAUUCUUCAGCCAUUUCGCAAGAUUUCUAGCUAAUGCACGUUCAGAAAAAGGUUUUUAAUUUGCUAGUUUCUCGCUGCUGUCUCUGUUAAUAUUUGAGAUUCAAGUUUUGCCCUCUUGAUUUCUACUGCUGCGAUUUGUUCGAAUCUGCUGUCUCAAAGUUGUCGAGCUCCAUUUUUCAAGUUUCUUAAGCCCAUAUUUGGGCGAAUAUGUUGGUUUUGCUACUGUCCAGGUUUCAGAAUUAUGUUCUUCUUCAAAGGAGGAUUCAUAAGACAUAGGUCAAAGUAAUAGUUGGGGCCAUUAUUUGUUAACUUCCUUGGGUCGUAGAUUCACAUAGUUUAAUUAGUUGAAUAAGAAGAUGCAAUACAUUUCUGGACUAUGGCCCGUUAGUUAAGGCAUUUGGUAUGUUUGUUUGUCUUAGAAAAUCAGAAAUUGGAUUAGAUUUAGAAUAGUACGGUUCUUUAGUUUCGGGCAAGUUUGAUAAAUGAAUUGAUGGCCCAAGUUAACUCACUCCAGUCUACGCAGGUUAUCCUCUCUGUACCGAGUUUUAGUUA